ACGAACGCUGGCGGCGUGCUUCACCCCUGCAAGUCGAACGGAAAGGCCCUGCUUUUGUGGGGUGCUCGAGUGGCGAACGGGUGAGUAACACGUGAGUAACCUGCCCUUGACUUUGGGAUAACUUCAGGAAACUGGGGCUAAUACCGGAUAGGAGCUCCUGCUGCAUGGUGGGGGUUGGAAGGUUUCGGCGGUUGGGGAUGGACUCGCGGCUUAUCAGCUUGUUGGUGGGGUAGUGGCUUACCAAGGCUUUGACGGGUAGCCGGCCUGAGAGGGUGACCGGCCACAUUGGGACUGAGAUACGGCCCAGACUCCUACGGGAGGCAGCAGUGGGGAAUAUUGCACAAUGGGCGGAAGCCUGAUGCAGCAACGCCGCGUGCGGGAUGACGGCCUUCGGGUUGUAAACCGCUUUCGCCUGUGACGAAGCGUGAGUGACGGUAAUGGGUAAAGAAGCACCGGCUAACUACGUG
This 467-nucleotide ribosomal RNA is filed under the name uncultured bacterium. RNAcentral describes it as "partial 16S ribosomal RNA". It matches the Rfam family "Bacterial small subunit ribosomal RNA", at positions 29 to 507 of the family's 1533-position model. The record is from RNAcentral.